GAUGAAGAACGCAGCGAAAUGCGAUAAGUAAUGUGAAUUGCAGAAUUCAGUGAAUCAUCGAAUCUUUGAACGCACCUUGCGCCCUUUGGCUAUUCCGAAGGGCAUGCCUGUUUGAGUAUCGUGAACACCUCAACUCUCAUGGUUUGCCAUGAUGAGCUUGGACUUUGGGGGUUUUGCUGGCCUUUGGUCGGCUCCUCUCAAACGGAUCAGCUUUCCAGUGUUUGGUGGCGUCACGGGUGUGAUAACUAUCUACGCCUGUGGUUUUCUGCCAGAUAACCUUCAGCGAUGGAGGUUCGCUGGGGCUCAUAAAUGUCUCUCUUCCGUGGAGACAGCUUUUUGGACGUUUGAUCUCAAAUCAGGUAGGACUACCCGCUGAACUUAAGCAUAUCAAUAAGCGGAGGA
RNAcentral lists this unclassified non-coding RNA (402 nucleotides) under soil metagenome. RNAcentral's name for it is "partial contains 5.8S ribosomal RNA, internal transcribed spacer 2, and large subunit ribosomal RNA". The stretch from base 1 to 121 matches the Rfam family "5.8S ribosomal RNA", at positions 35 to 154 of the family's 154-position model. The record is from RNAcentral.